GUCACCGACUAUACCACGUAGAAAUCACCGGUUCUCGUCCAAUCACCGAAGAUUAACUACGUCGGGCGAGGUUAGUACUUGCAUGGGUGACCGGCUGGGAAUACCCAGUGUUGCUGACU
This 119-nucleotide ribosomal RNA is filed under the name Rodentolepis nana. Lineage: Eukaryota; Metazoa; Platyhelminthes; Cestoda; Cyclophyllidea; Hymenolepididae. The record is from RNAcentral.